AAACUACGCCUGUUCUUUGAAAUUUAAUAUUGAUUACAGAAAAGGGAACACGGUUUAAAGCCGUGACGGUCGCGCCGCUGUAAGCGUUUAUUCCGAUAAAACGGAAGACCGAAAGAAGUUGUACCACUGCUUAUGUGUUGAGCGGGAAGGGUUCUUUCGGUGACGCAAGUCAGAAAACCUUACUUGGAAUCAAAAAUUUU
Planctomycetes bacterium GWF2_41_51 is the source of this 200-nucleotide non-coding RNA. The record is from Rfam. NCBI's taxonomy places the organism in Bacteria, Pseudomonadati, Planctomycetota.